UACGUAGGGUGCGAGCGUUGUCCGGAAUUAUUGGGCGUAAAGAGCUCGUAGGCGGUGUGUCGCGUCGGCCGUGAAAACCUGCAGCUUAACUGUGGGCGUGCGGUCGAUACGGGCAUCACUGGAGUUCGGCAGGGGAGACUGGAAUUCCUGGUGUAGCGGUGAAAUGCGCAGAUAUCAGGAGGAACACCGGUGGCGAAGGCGGGUCUCUGGGCCGAUACUGACGCUGAGGAGCGAAAGCCAGGGGAGCAAACGGG
Molecule: ribosomal RNA, 254 nt
Filed under: uncultured bacterium
Lineage: Bacteria
Description: partial 16S ribosomal RNA
Rfam family: Bacterial small subunit ribosomal RNA
Source: RNAcentral